This 212-nucleotide ribosomal RNA is filed under the name uncultured bacterium. RNAcentral describes it as "partial 16S ribosomal RNA". It matches the Rfam family "Bacterial small subunit ribosomal RNA", at positions 1289 to 1500 of the family's 1533-position model. The record is from RNAcentral.
CAGUUCGGACUGCAGUCUGCAACUCGACUGCACGAAGUCGGAAUUGCUAGUAAUCGCGGAUCAGCAUGCCGCGGUGAAUACGUUCCCGGGCCUUGUACACACCGCCCGUCACACCAUGAGAGUCGGGAACACCCGAAGUCCGUAGUCUAACCGCAAGGAGGACGCGGCCGAAGGUGGGCUUGAUAAUUGGGGUGAAGUCGUAACAAGGUAUC